Vagococcus penaei is the source of this 88-nucleotide transfer RNA. It matches the Rfam family "tRNA". Rfam says of the family: Transfer RNA (tRNA) molecules are approximately 80 nucleotides in length. Lineage: Bacteria; Bacillati; Bacillota; Bacilli; Lactobacillales; Enterococcaceae. The record is from Rfam.
GGAGAAGUACUCAAGUGGCUGAAGAGGCGCCCCUGCUAAGGGUGUAGGUCGGGAAACUGGCGCGAGGGUUCAAAUCCCUCCUUCUCCA